This 64-nucleotide transfer RNA is filed under the name Valleriola javanica. RNAcentral's name for it is "tRNA-Pro". Lineage: Eukaryota; Metazoa; Arthropoda; Insecta; Hemiptera; Leptopodidae. The record is from RNAcentral. RNAcentral also lists the same sequence under 1 other name.
CAGUGGGUAGUUUAUUUAAAAUGUUAACUUUGGGUGUUAUUGAUGAUAUUUAUGUCCUCGCUGA